UACAGAGGGUGCAAGCGUUGUUCGGAAUUAUUGGGCGUAAAGCGCGUGUAGGCGGCUUUGCAAGUCGGGUGUGAAAUCCCUCAGCUUAACUGAGGAAGUGCGCCCGAAACUGCAGAGCUUGAGUACCGGAGAGGAUGGCGGAAUUCCCCAAGUAGAGGUGAAAUUCGUAGAUAUGGGGAGGAACACCGGUGGCGAAGGCGGCCAUCUGGACGGAUACUGACGCUGAGACGCGAAAGCGUGGGUAGCAAACAGG
This 253-nucleotide ribosomal RNA is filed under the name uncultured bacterium. Its description in RNAcentral is "partial 16S ribosomal RNA". It matches the Rfam family "Bacterial small subunit ribosomal RNA", at positions 524 to 776 of the family's 1533-position model. The record is from RNAcentral.